GACGAACGCUGGCGGCGGGCUUAACACAUGCAAGUCGAACGGAAAGGCCCUGCUUUUGUGUGGUUCUCGAGUGGCGAACGGGUGAGUAACCCGUGAGUAACCUGCCCUUGACUUUGUGAUAACUUCAGGAAACUGGGGCUACUACCGGCUAGGAGCUCCUGCUGCUUGGUGGGGGUUGGAACGUUUCGGCGGAUGUGGAUGUACGGGCGGCUAAUCAGCUUGUUGGUGGGGUAGUUGCUUACCAAGUCUUCGACGGGUAGCCGGCCUGAGAGGGGAAACGGCGACAAGAGGACUGAGGGACGCCGCAGAGUGGUACGGGAGGCAGCAGUGGGGAGCAUUGUCCAAUGGGCGGAAGUCUGAUGAAACAGCGUCGCGUGCGGAAUGCCCGCCUUCGUGUGGUAAACCGCUUUCAGCUGUGACCAAGCGUGAGUGACGGUAAUGGGUGAAGAAGCACCGGCUAACUACGUG
RNAcentral lists this ribosomal RNA (468 nucleotides) under uncultured bacterium. RNAcentral's name for it is "partial 16S ribosomal RNA". It matches the Rfam family "Bacterial small subunit ribosomal RNA", at positions 28 to 507 of the family's 1533-position model. The record is from RNAcentral.